RNAcentral lists this long non-coding RNA (600 nucleotides) under Cricetulus griseus (Chinese hamster). Its description in RNAcentral is "lncRNA (ENSCGRG00015039219.1)". Lineage: Eukaryota; Metazoa; Chordata; Mammalia; Rodentia; Cricetidae. The record is from RNAcentral.
GUGUGAUGUGCGCGCGCGCGCGUGCGCGCGCGAGACUCCACCUGCCUGUCGCGGCCCGCGGGCAGCGCUUCGGGGCUGCUGCGCGGCGGCCUUGACCACCUUGGUAUAGCAGAGGAGGAAACGGAAGCUCAGACAGCCCGCUGGGCCGCUCCGAGCUCCGGGCUGGCUGCCGCGCGCUCCCGGUCUGCUGUUCCGCGGAGGGCACAACAAAGGGCCCCCCGGGCAGCCCGCUCAGAGACCGACUACUGAAACCCUCGGGCCAGGUUCUCGUUUUUGCUUUGUUUGGUUUUGGUUUUCUGGCGUCCUUAAACUCUGAGAUUUCUCCCGAUUCCGGUUCGAGACCUCCCGGGUUAAGUAAGGUGUGGCAAACAUAAUCCUAGCACUUGGGAGGUGGGAGAAUGGAGAGUCAAAGUCAUCUGCAGACGAGCCUGGUCUACAUGAAAUCCUGUUUCCAGACACAUAUAUAAAUAAAGUCAUCUGCAGACUAGCCUGGUCUACAUGAAAUCCUGUUUCCAGACACAUAUAUAAAUAAAGUCAUCUGCAGACUAGCCUGGUCUACAUGAAAUCCUGUUUCCAGACACAUAUAUAAAUAAAGUCAUC